Molecule: ribosomal RNA, 422 nt
Filed under: uncultured prokaryote
Description: bacterial SSU rRNA
Rfam family: Bacterial small subunit ribosomal RNA
Source: RNAcentral
UGAGGAAUAUUGGUCAAUGGGCGCAAGCCUGAACCAGCCAUCCCGCGUGAAGGAAGAAGGCGCUAUGCGUUGUAAACUUCUUUUCCAGGGAAAUAAAAUUUCGUACGUGUACGGAACUGAAGGUACCCUGGGAAUAAGCAUCGGCUAACUCCGUGCCAGCAGCCGCGGUAAUACGGAGGAUGCAAGCGUUAUCCGGAUUUAUUGGGUUUAAAGGGUGCGCAGGCGGAAAAAGAAGUCAGUGGUGAAAUCCUGAGUCUUAACUGUAGAAUUGCCGUUGAUACUGUUAUGCUUGAGUGUGGUCAAGGUAGGCGGAAUGUGUAAUGUAGCGGUGAAAUGCUUAGAUAUUACACAGAACACCGAUUGCGAAGGCAGCUUACUGGGCCAUUACUGACGCUCAUGCACGAAAGCGUGGGGAUCGAACA